UACGGGGGGGGCAAGCGUUAUCCGGAUUCACUGGGUUUAAAGGGUGCGUAGGUGGGCAAGUAAGUCAGUGGUGAAAUCUCCGGGCUUAACCCGGAAACUGCCAUUGAUACUAUUUGUCUUGAAUACUGUGGAGGUCAGCGGAAUAUGUCAUGUAGCGGUGAAAUGCUUAGAUAUGACAUAGAACACCAAUUGCGAAGGCAGCUGGCUACACAAAUAUUGACACUGAGGCACGAAAGCGUGGGGAUCAAACAGG
RNAcentral lists this ribosomal RNA (253 nucleotides) under uncultured bacterium. RNAcentral describes it as "partial 16S ribosomal RNA". It matches the Rfam family "Bacterial small subunit ribosomal RNA", at positions 524 to 776 of the family's 1533-position model. The record is from RNAcentral.